This 490-nucleotide ribosomal RNA is filed under the name fungal sp. TZ-2013. RNAcentral describes it as "eukaryotic LSU rRNA". The stretch from base 122 to 275 matches the Rfam family "5.8S ribosomal RNA". Lineage: Eukaryota; Fungi. The record is from RNAcentral.
UCCUUAAACCAUUGUGACCAAUCCUUACACGUUGCUUCGGCGGUGCCUUCGGGCGCCGCCGGAGGUACGAAACUCUUCUGUAUUAUAGUGGCAUCUCUGAGUAAACAAACAAAUAAGUUAAAACUUUCAACAACGGAUCUCUUGGUUCUGGCAUCGAUGAAGAACGCAGCGAAAUGCGAUAAGUAAUGUGAAUUGCAGAAUUCAGUGAAUCAUCGAAUCUUUGAACGCACAUUGCGCCCGCUGGUAUUCUAGCGGGCAUGCCUGUUCGAGCGUCAUUUCAACCCUCAAGCCCUGCUUGGUGUUGGGGCCCUACGGCUGCCGUAGGCCCUGAAAACUAGUGGCGGGCUCGCUACAACUCCGAGCGUAGUAAUUAUCACUCGCUAGGGACGUUUGGCGCGCUCCUGCCGUUAAAGACCAUCUUUAACCCAAGGUUGACCUCGGAUCAGGUAGGAAUACCCGCUGAACUUAAGCAUAUCAAUAAGCGGAGAAA